UACGAAGGGGGCAAGCGUUGUUCGGAAUUACUGGGCGUAAAGGGCGCGUAGGCGGCUUAUCAAGUCAGGCGUGAAAUUCCCGGGCUCAACCUGGGGGCUGCGCUUGAUACUGAUGAGCUUGAAUGCGGGAGAGGAUAGUGGAAUUCCCAGUGUAGAGGUGAAAUUCGUAGAUAUUCGCAAGAACACCAGUGGCGAAGGCGGCUGACUGGUCCGGUUCUGACGCUGAGGCGCGAAAGCGUGGGGAGCAAACAGG
Molecule: ribosomal RNA, 253 nt
Filed under: uncultured bacterium
Lineage: Bacteria
Description: partial 16S ribosomal RNA
Rfam family: Bacterial small subunit ribosomal RNA
Source: RNAcentral